GUUAAGCGACUAAGCGUACACGGUGGAUGCCCUGGCAGUCAGAGGCGAUGAAGGACGUGCUAAUCUGCGAUAAGCGUCGGUAAGGUGAUAUGAACCGUUAUAACCGGCGAUUUCCGAAUGGGGAAACCCAGUGUGUUUCGACACACUAUCAUUAACUGAAUCCAUAGGUUAAUGAGGCGAACCGGGGGAACUGAAACAUCUAAGUACCCCGAGGAAAAGAAAUCAACCGAGAUUCCCCCAGUAGCGGCGAGCGAACGGGGAGCAGCCCAGAGCCUGAAUCAGUGUGUGUGUUAGUGGAAGCGUCUGGAAAGGCGCGCGAUACAGGGUGACAGCCCCGUACACAAAAAUGCACAUGCUGUGAGCUCGAUGAGUAGGGCGGGACACGUGGUAUCCUGUCUGAAUAUGGGGGGACCAUCCUCCAAGGCUAAAUACUCCUGACUGACCGAUAGUGAACCAGUACCGUGAGGGAAAGGCGAAAAGAACCCCGGCGAGGGGAGUGAAAAAGAACCUGAAACCGUGUACGUACAAGCAGUGGGAGCACGCUUAGGCGUGUGACUGCGUACCUUUUGUAUAAUGGGUCAGCGACUUAUAUUCUGUAGCAAGGUUAACCGAAUAGGGGAGCCGAAGGGAAACCGAGUCUUAACUGGGCGUUAAGUUGCAGGGUAUAGACCCGAAACCCGGUGAUCUAGCCAUGGGCAGGUUGAAGGUUGGGUAACACUAACUGGAGGACCGAACCGACUAAUGUUGAAAAAUUAGCGGAUGACUUGUGGCUGGGGGUGAAAGGCCAAUCAAACCGGGAGAUAGCUGGUUCUCCCCGAAAGCUAUUUAGGUAGCGCCUCGUGAAUUCAUCUCCGGGGGUAGAGCACUGUUUCGGCAAGGGGGUCAUCCCGACUUACCAACCCGAUGCAAACUGCGAAUACCGGAGAAUGUUAUCACGGGAGACACACGGCGGGUGCUAACGUCCGUCGUGAAGAGGGAAACAACCCAGACCGCCAGCUAAGGUCCCAAAGUCAUGGUUAAGUGGGAAACGAUGUGGGAAGGCCCAGACAGCCAGGAUGUUGGCUUAGAAGCAGCCAUCAUUUAAAGAAAGCGUAAUAGCUCACUGGUCGAGUCGGCCUGCGCGGAAGAUGUAACGGGGCUAAACCAUGCACCGAAGCUGCGGCAGCGACGCUUAUGCGUUGUUGGGUAGGGGAGCGUUCUGUAAGCCUGUGAAGGUGUGCUGUGAGGCAUGCUGGAGGUAUCAGAAGUGCGAAUGCUGACAUAAGUAACGAUAAAGCGGGUGAAAAGCCCGCUCGCCGGAAGACCAAGGGUUCCUGUCCAACGUUAAUCGGGGCAGGGUGAGUCGACCCCUAAGGCGAGGCCGAAAGGCGUAGUCGAUGGGAAACAGGUUAAUAUUCCUGUACUUGGUGUUACUGCGAAGGGGGGACGGAGAAGGCUAUGUUGGCCGGGCGACGGUUGUCCCGGUUUAAGCGUGUAGGCUGGUUUUCCAGGCAAAUCCGGAAAAUCAAGGCUGAGGCGUGAUGACGAGGCACUACGGUGCUGAAGCAACAAAUGCCCUGCUUCCAGGAAAAGCCUCUAAGCAUCAGGUAACAUCAAAUCGUACCCCAAACCGACACAGGUGGUCAGGUAGAGAAUACCAAGGCGCUUGAGAGAACUCGGGUGAAGGAACUAGGCAAAAUGGUGCCGUAACUUCGGGAGAAGGCACGCUGAUAUGUAGGUGAAGUCCCUCGCGGAUGGAGCUGAAAUCAGUCGAAGAUACCAGCUGGCUGCAACUGUUUAUUAAAAACACAGCACUGUGCAAACACGAAAGUGGACGUAUACGGUGUGACGCCUGCCCGGUGCCGGAAGGUUAAUUGAUGGGGUCAGCGCAAGCGAAGCUCUUGAUCGAAGCCCCGGUAAACGGCGGCCGUAACUAUAACGGUCCUAAGGUAGCGAAAUUCCUUGUCGGGUAAGUUCCGACCUGCACGAAUGGCGUAAUGAUGGCCAGGCUGUCUCCACCCGAGACUCAGUGAAAUUGAACUCGCUGUGAAGAUGCAGUGUACCCGCGGCAAGACGGAAAGACCCCGUGAACCUUUACUAUAGCUUGACACUGAACAUUGAGCCUUGAUGUGUAGGAUAGGUGGGAGGCUUAGAAGUGUGGACGCCAGUCUGCAUGGAGCCGACCUUGAAAUACCACCCUUUAAUGUUUGAUGUUCUAACGUUGACCCGUAAUCCGGGUUGCGGACAGUGUCUGGUGGGUAGUUUGACUGGGGCGGUCUCCUCCUAAAGAGUAACGGAGGAGCACGAAGGUUGGCUAAUCCUGGUCGGACAUCAGGAGGUUAGUGCAAUGGCAUAAGCCAGCUUGACUGCGAGCGUGACGGCGCGAGCAGGUGCGAAAGCAGGUCAUAGUGAUCCGGUGGUUCUGAAUGGAAGGGCCAUCGCUCAACGGAUAAAAGGUACUCCGGGGAUAACAGGCUGAUACCGCCCAAGAGUUCAUAUCGACGGCGGUGUUUGGCACCUCGAUGUCGGCUCAUCACAUCCUGGGGCUGAAGUAGGUCCCAAGGGUAUGGCUGUUCGCCAUUUAAAGUGGUACGCGAGCUGGGUUUAGAACGUCGUGAGACAGUUCGGUCCCUAUCUGCCGUGGGCGCUGGAGAACUGAGGGGGGCUGCUCCUAGUACGAGAGGACCGGAGUGGACGCAUCACUGGUGUU
Molecule: ribosomal RNA, 2689 nt
Filed under: Escherichia coli
Lineage: Bacteria; Pseudomonadati; Pseudomonadota; Gammaproteobacteria; Enterobacterales; Enterobacteriaceae
Description: bacterial LSU rRNA
Rfam family: Bacterial large subunit ribosomal RNA
Source: RNAcentral